UGAGGAAUAUUGGGCAAUGCCCGCAAGGGUGACCCAGCAACGCCGCGUGGAGGAUGAAUGUCGUAAGAUUGUAAACUCCUGUUAGAGGGGAAGAAUAGUACCGGUUGGACCGGUAUAUGACUGUACCCUCAGAGAAAGCCCCGGCUAACUACGUGCCAGCAGCCGCGGUAAUACGGAGGGUGCAAGCGUUAUCCGGAUUCACUGGGUUUAAAGGGUGCGUAGGUGGGCAGAUAAGUCAGUGGUGAAAUCUUCCGGCUUAACCGGAAAAUUGCCGUUGAUACUACUUGUCUUGAGUAUUGUGGAGGUAAGCGGAAUAUGUCAUGUAGCGGUGAAAUGCUUAGAUAUGACAUAGAACACCAAUUGCGAAGGCAGCUUACUAUAUAAUUAUUGACACUGAGGCACGAAAGCGUGGGUAGCGAAC
This 421-nucleotide ribosomal RNA is filed under the name uncultured bacterium. RNAcentral's name for it is "bacterial SSU rRNA". It matches the Rfam family "Bacterial small subunit ribosomal RNA", at positions 355 to 773 of the family's 1533-position model. The record is from RNAcentral.